AUACGAAGGGGGCUAGCGUUGUUCGGAAUCACUGGGCGUAAAGCGCGCGUAGGUGGAUCAAUUAGUUGAGGGUGAAAUCCCGGGGCUCAACCUCGGAACUGCCUUCAAUACUGUUGAUCUUGAGACCGAGAGAGGUGAGUGGAAUUCCUAGUGUAGAGGUGAAAUUCGUAGAUAUUAGGAAGAACACCAGUGGCGAAGGCGGCUCACUGGCUCGGUACUGACGCUGAGGUGCGAAAGCGUGGGGAGCAAACAGGAGUAGAUACCCUAGUAGUCC
RNAcentral lists this ribosomal RNA (274 nucleotides) under uncultured bacterium. RNAcentral's name for it is "partial 16S ribosomal RNA". It matches the Rfam family "Bacterial small subunit ribosomal RNA", at positions 523 to 796 of the family's 1533-position model. The record is from RNAcentral.